AAUAUUGCACAAUGGGGGAAACCCUGAUGCAGCGACGCCGCGUGAGUGAAGAAGUAUNNNGGUAUNUCAAGCUCUAUCAGCAGNGACNAUAAUGACGGUACCUGACUAAGAAGCCCCGGCUAACUACGUGCCAGCAGCCGCGGUAAUACGUAGGGGGCAAGCGUUAUCCGGAUUUACUGGGUGUAAAGGGAGCGUAGGUGGUUCGGUAAGUCAGAUGUGAAAGCCCGGGGCUCAACCCCGGGACUGCAUUUGAAACUAUCGAACUAGAGUGUAGGAGAGGUAAGUGGAAUUCCUAGUGUAGCGGUGAAAUGCGUAGAUAUUAGGAGGAACACCAGUGGCGAAGGCGGCUUACUGGACUAUAACUGACACUGAGGCUCGAAAGCGUGGGGAGCAAACAGG
Molecule: ribosomal RNA, 399 nt
Filed under: uncultured bacterium
Lineage: Bacteria
Description: partial 16S ribosomal RNA
Rfam family: Bacterial small subunit ribosomal RNA
Source: RNAcentral